Molecule: non-coding RNA, 514 nt
Organism: Sarcophilus harrisii (Tasmanian devil)
Lineage: Eukaryota; Metazoa; Chordata; Mammalia; Dasyuromorphia; Dasyuridae
Source: the annotation of a RefSeq genome assembly
AACCCCAAACCUGUACUUGCAUCUCUGGGGUACAAGCCCAAGUUCUUUGUGUCCUUCUGUGCAAAGGACUAACUUAGAAACUUACCAUGAAAUUGAAGCUGAACUGGAUUUUUCUUUUGACUAUUUUCCAAGGUGUCCAGUGUGAUGUGCAGCUAGUGGAGUCUGGGGGAGAUGUGAUUCAGCCUGGGGGUUCUCUUAGACUCUCCUGCAAAGCUUCUGGGUUUACCUUCAGUGACUAUGCAAUGGGCUGGGUCCGCCAGGCUCCAGGGAAAGGACUAGAAUGGAUUGCAAGCAUUAGCUAUAGUGGAAGUAAUACAUACUAUGCAGACUCUGUGAAAGGUCGAUCCACCAUCUCCAGAGAUAAUGGCAACAAUAUGUUAAAUCUGCAGAUGAAUUCCCUUAAUACUCAGGAUACAGCUGUGUAUUACUGUACAAGAGACACAGUGAGGAAAAGAAAUGUGAGACUAGACAGAAACUUCCCCUACCAGGAGAUGAGAUGCCAGUGAGGAUAGAA